GCCUUUCCAAGGUUCGCCUUGCCCAAUCGGGUCCCCAUCUCCCGUGGCUUGGGUGUGGGCGUGAACCCUAGCCCCCAGUCCACAGCCGCCACACCCGUCCUCCGGUCCUCCCCGCUCCCAAUCUCCUCUCCCACGCCGCCGCCUCCCCGCUCCCCGCUCGCCUCAGCCACCUCCUGUGCUCCCUCGCGCCACCGACUCCCUCCCUCCUCCCUCCCUCGUCACCGCAGCCGACCACCUGCCGUCACUUAGGCCCCCAUGGCGGCUGCCGGGUCGGGGUGGAGGCAAUAGGCCAUGGAGAAUCUGGUGGUGUCUGUGGGCGCAACAGGGGUAGAUGGAGCGUCGGAUGCGGGCGGGCUCCCACCCUUAGGCUCCACGACGGAUGCCAGUUCAGAGGGCGAAAGCAGAAAGCGGUGGCGUGUCCUGCGCUUGUGGGCGGAAGCAGCGAGGUUGGUCGAGCGGUGAUUGUGUCCGGGGUCAGUAGCUGAAGGAGGCUCGCUGACUGGAACAGUAGGAGGUGAUUCAGGAGCGCCUCGAGGAGUCGAAGGGAGAGGUCGUGCAGGCCAGACAAAGAAGAGCAAGGACGAUAAAUAUUCAAUCAGCCCUAUGUUUUCUUCUCGAUGCACCUCGGCAUGAGGAGUCGUGCUAGGCAUCCUGGGGUGAUUCAAGAUGCUCAGUGUACCACACUGCAUGCUACACAGGUCAAUUGUGCAGGUUGCUCUAAAAUACACUAAUUUAGACACGACCACUUGUCUGCAGCAAUUUCUUACUCUCAGUGCAAACGUACUUCUUUCUUUCUUUUUAUCAAAUGCACUCCUGCUUCACUCCAACUCCCAACUAUAGUUGCUGCAGACCAGCUCAUGGUGUGGGAAGCAUCUCAUAUUGUUCACUGAAUCUAUUGAUGAAUCUGAAGCAAUUCAAGAGGUGGAGCAAAAACUAUUUAUGCCUAUAGGUUGUCCGAACUACACCUUUAAUUCUAAUUACCUUGUUUGGUCUCCUUCUGUGUGAUAUCACUUUGUUCUGUAUAGUUGUCACUGGGACCUAUAUAUUACUUCUUGCAUGAAUCAUGGAUGUAUGAAGACAUGAAGUCAGAUAUAAUAUAAAACAAAACCUAUAUAUUACUUCUUGCAUGAAUCAUGGAUGUAUGGAGACAUGAUGUCAGAUAUAAUAUAAAAGAAAAUGCAUAUGAAUACUUUCAAGACCGAUCUUUGUGUUCAUUUACAAGAAGAUACAUUAUAAUAGUACUAAUGGACGCAUUUGUCCACUGAUAUGUUCAUUUAAUUUUGUAACCUAUGUUUUUCAUCUCAUGUACCAUUAGGAACAUUUGGUAGAUAAUUAUUUUAGUCAAGACGCAACAUGUUGUUUUGAUGUAUUUUGCUAUCGAUAUUCUGAAAUUGUUUUGUAUACUUUGUUUUGUUACAAAGCAAACAUGUGGGUUUAUGGUCACCUCAUUUCUAUAUGCAUACUUUAUAUAUGUGUUGAUGAUUUUGUGGUAGUCAAUUACUAAGUCUUCUCUUUAUAUUUUUCCACAAUAAGUGAAAUGAAAGGCCACAAACAACGCUUCUCCGGGAAGUGAAUUUUAUGGUGCCUUGCAUUCUGCUCAUUUGACGCAAUUGUUCAUCACAAAGAGGAGGGGAGAAGUCUACCCUUGGGAAAUGGGUGCCUCUCCAGUCAAGCGAGCGACGACAAAUCCAACUGGAAAGGGCUCUGUGGUGAUCUUCAUGUUAUCAGUAACUAUACAUGAGUUUCCUUGCUAACAGUUGUUAUCUUUCAAGGUUGCAAGUUUAGCCCUAUAUGAAAUACAACAUUCAAGCAAAUAAUUUGUGCUUUAUCUUUUGAAAUGCAUGUGCAGCAUGUUUUUUUUCUCUUUUAUCCAAGCUACUAUGCAAAAUUGUAUUGUUUUACGGCCAUUUGGUUCAUAGGAGUGAGCUUUGUAGGACUGGGAUAAUACAUGCAUGUGCAGUAUUAUAGAUACACAGUUAGCUGUCGAACAAUUCUUAUUUGUAGUUCUCUGAAAUAUUACUUCCUGACUUUAAAUUUACCUUCUUUCUUAUCCAAGUACAAGCAAAGGGAUUUAUAGCUGGUGAAGAGCAGCAAGGCAAGGCCAUUGCCCCGGCUGUUGAGCUUGAAAAGUUCGUAUGGAAUAUGCAAAAAAAUAUUUUUUUCCGUUAUGUUCUGUUGGAAUUUGUCACAUUUCUUUUGUGAAAGAAUGUGCCAUUGUCUAAUAUAUUUGUCAAACAAAAAAAUAGUUGCAUAUACUAGACUGGAUGGUUUGAGAAACUACGGGCACUAUCAAGAGUGUGUUAUAGGAAAUUUGUUUAAUUACAUAUAUCAUAUAUGUUCUGCUCUUAAGAGAUUAGUUUAGUUACAUGUAUAUUCUGCUUUGUGGUGUCACCCCUACAUCUAUUCAUGCAUAAUGAAUUUGGUGGUGUCAUUCUUUAUAUUGCAACAGGUUAAACAAUCUUGUGAUUGUAAUAUUUUUUUGGUGUUGCCAUAAAAUUAGAAACAUUUAUUGAAAUUGUUCGGUAAUGCAGUUUUAUGAUAUCGAGUGCCUUAGCCUUUGGUUGGAUAUAGAGUUUGAAAACAAUAUCUAGGUUGGAGCACACUAUGCUACAUCAAAAAGGACCUACAUAGCUAAUCAUGUAUGCUUGCUGAGAGGUGAACUUAGCAAAAUUGAGGAUGUCAGCUUUUACAUUUUGUCAUGCUUGGCUUAGAUAAGAUGUAUCCAUCCUUUUUUGUGUUUGUACCAAAGCUUCCUUGCUUUUAGAGGAUUUUGUGCAAGCUUUGCAUUUUCUUUGCCUGAGGCUACAAAUGCAUAUUUUCAUUUGUUCUGGUAGUUUUAUUACCUUCGGAACAGUCACAUGCAUGAGGCAGUGAGUUUGGACAAGGUGGAGCAGCGUCGACUGUCACACACACUAAUGGAGAUUGGGAUGUCUACCUUCCUAUUGACGAUCUUAUAAUUCAUCUGCUAACUGACAGGUAAGAUAUGUAUUUUGUUCAAAUGACCUUGACUAUUUUGCAACAUGUACUACAUUUUCAGGGAUAAUCCUUUUGCUUGUUUAUUUUUUCGCUAUGCUCUCUGAAGAUCAGAUUUUGGCCAUAUAAUUUCUGGUGUCUGGAAGUCUAAAACUGAAGAUAGGGCAGAUUGUUUUGUUUAUGAUUACUUGGAGAUCUCGUGGCUUGCUGUCCAUGGAUCAGUCAGACCUACGGCAACAUCAACUCAUUGAUUCUAGAGGCCAUGGUUCUCGAGGUGAACUCUGAAUCUCUGAUGCAAUUGCAGUGGAGGCUAGAGCCUGCCAAGUGAUGCAGAAGAUGGAACCAUAUAGUGCAACUGACUUUUCAGAUUAUUUAUUCCUCUUGUAAAACUUCUUUCUCAUCCAUGUAAUCCCUGCACAUCUCAAAUCCUCGUCCGCCUUAACCUUGAUUUCGGCACAUACGACUUCAGGAUAGUUGUCAUAUUUCUUUUAGAGGAUCUGCACCUCAAGGAAAUUAGAGAAUGCUGAUUUAAAAACAAAGUAUAUGUAAGCUAUUAGGAAGCCUGAGAGAUUCAUAAAAAUGGUAAGCAUUGUAAUGGAUGUUUUGCAAGAUAAACAUUAUUUGACUGUCUCCCCUUAAUUAGUGGGACUGGUGAGUAAUGUAGAAUCUUUAUUUUAGCA
Molecule: long non-coding RNA, 3653 nt
Organism: Triticum aestivum (bread wheat)
Lineage: Eukaryota; Viridiplantae; Streptophyta; Magnoliopsida; Poales; Poaceae
Exons: 4
Source: RefSeq, a predicted model, not a curated record